RNAcentral lists this ribosomal RNA (107 nucleotides) under Macaca fascicularis (crab-eating macaque). Lineage: Eukaryota; Metazoa; Chordata; Mammalia; Primates; Cercopithecidae. The record is from RNAcentral. RNAcentral also lists the same sequence under 1 other name.
GUCUAUGGCCAUACCACCCUGAACGUACCCGAUCUCGUCUGAUCUUGGAAGCUAAGCAGGGUCGGGCCUGGUUAAUACUUGGAUGGGAGGUUUUGGCAUCAGAAAAU